CAAAACGUAGCUUAAUACAAAGCAUCUUGCUUACACCAAGAAAACAUCUGUUAAACCCAGGUCGUCUUGA
This 70-nucleotide transfer RNA is filed under the name Scinax rizibilis. RNAcentral's name for it is "tRNA-Val". It matches the Rfam family "tRNA". Rfam says of the family: Transfer RNA (tRNA) molecules are approximately 80 nucleotides in length. Their secondary structure includes four short double-helical elements and three loops (D, anti-codon, and T loops). Lineage: Eukaryota; Metazoa; Chordata; Amphibia; Anura; Hylidae. The record is from RNAcentral.